ACAGCAGCCGCCGCGGUAAAACGUAGGUGGCAAGCGUUGUCCGGAUUUAUUGGGCGUAAAGCGAGCGCAGGCGGUUUGAUAAGUCUGAAGUGAAAGGCAGUGGCUCAACCAUUGUAGGCUUUGGAAACUGUUUAACUUGAGUGCAGAAGGGGAGAGUGGAAUUCCAUGUGUAGCGGUGAAAUGCGUAGAUAUUGGGAGGAACACCAGUGGCGAAGGCGGCUUUCUGGACUGUAACUGACGCUGAGGCUCGAAAGCCAGGGGAGCGAACGGGAUUAGAUACCCGCGUAGUCCCUGUCUCUUAUACA
Molecule: ribosomal RNA, 305 nt
Filed under: uncultured bacterium
Lineage: Bacteria
Description: partial 16S ribosomal RNA
Rfam family: Bacterial small subunit ribosomal RNA
Source: RNAcentral